UUUUUCAAAAAGACGCUGUUAUUGCUGGUGUAUCAGGUGGAGUUGCUUGAUUUUUGGUCUUAUGCGGAUUGAUCGUUUAUUGUUGCAUCUGUUGUCGUCAAAGAAAAAGACGAAGCGGUAGAUACUGUUGUGCAUGUCUAACAAAUAGACCGGGAAACAUAAGUAAGUCUGACUGUUUUCAUAAAAUGAAGAGCGAAUAUAGUUACCAAAGGCACAAGGAUUACAAUUUGAUACGAAUAUAGACAACGCAUUGCAAUGUGAUGAUUUGGUUUUUUUUUCGUUUUUGGUUUCGUACUUUUUCAUACGGUGUCAGUAUGAUAAUGUGUAAAUAAAUCAAAAACAAUGUGUGUAUGCACUUGUUUGAACACAGUUUGUUAAACUAAAAUCAAUGGAAAACAUGUAUUUUUUUUUUUUUUUUUUUGCAUUUUUUAUUCUUGUUUGACUUAUAAAAGUGUUACUUGAAUUUUAAAGGAUUUUGAAAAGCUCCAGUUCUAUUGUUGAUAAUAUAUUAUUACCUAAUUUCAUAUAUGUAUGUGUUUGUAGAUGCAGGAGGUCUUUCGGCAGAAUGCUCCGUAAAUGAACUAUUGUUAUGUUCCUGUAUCUUGUGUAGACCACGGAAGCAGAAUGAAAGUGUACAGGGAUCAAAUUUACUUGACAAGGGUUC
Molecule: long non-coding RNA, 664 nt
Filed under: Mytilus galloprovincialis (Mediterranean mussel)
Lineage: Eukaryota; Metazoa; Mollusca; Bivalvia; Mytilida; Mytilidae
Source: RNAcentral